Molecule: ribosomal RNA, 484 nt
Filed under: uncultured bacterium
Lineage: Bacteria
Description: partial 16S ribosomal RNA
Rfam family: Bacterial small subunit ribosomal RNA
Source: RNAcentral
AGUGAACGCUGGCGGCGUGCUUAACACAUGCAAGUCGAACGAGAACGGAUUAUAGCUUGCUAUAAUUGUCAGCUAAGUGGCGCACGGGUGAGUAAUGUAUAGGUAAUAUGCCUCUUACUAAGGGAUAACAAAUGGAAACGUUUGCUAAUACCUUAUACUCCUUAUUAACAUAAGUUAAUAAGGGAAAGAUUUAUUGGUAAGAGAUUAGCCUGUAUUGUAUCAGUUAGUUGGUGGGGUAAUGGCUUACCAAGACUAUGACGCAUAACUGGUUUGAGAGGAAGAUCAGUCACCCUGGAACUGAGAAACGGUCGAGACUCCUACGGGAGGCAGCCGUGGGGUAUAUUGCACAAUGGACGAAAGUCUGAUGAAGCAACGCCGAGUGGAGGAUGACACAUUUCGGUGCGUAAACUCCUUUUAUAUGAGAAGAUAAUGACGGUAUUAUAUGAAUAAGCACCGGCUAACUCCGUGCCAGCCGCCGCCGUAA